This is a long non-coding RNA of Nicotiana attenuata, 613 nucleotides long. RefSeq lists it as uncharacterized. The transcript has 4 exons. NCBI's taxonomy places the organism in Eukaryota, Viridiplantae, Streptophyta, Magnoliopsida, Solanales, Solanaceae. The record is from RefSeq and is a predicted model, not a curated record.
UGACACUCGCUAUUCUGUGGUUGUCCCCAUAAUUGGUGUUCAGGUACCUCUUGUUAAGUAUAAUAGGAUCAACGAUAGAGUUUAAUUGAUAUGAGAUUAUGAUGAGAAAUUGAAACAAGGUUGUAGGGUUUUCGAUGGGCCAUUGAGCAUGAUAAGUGACAAGCAAGAGUUAACAGUAUCAAGGCUUUGAAGAAGCACGUGCCGAUUUAGACAAGAGUACAAUUGAUAAAGAAGUAGUUCAGAAGGUCUGGAACAGGAUUGCCCCAGGUUUAACCUCUCAAUUUGAUGCACCAUACACAGUUCCAAUUAUUGCACCACGCCAGUUCUAUUUUAAACGGGGAAGAUGAUCCUCGUUGCCCACUAGGUCGCCUGAAAAUUCCAGAAUCAAGAGCUGGCAAAGCUUAUGAAGAGGCUAAUUGUCCUCAGGAUUUCAAGGUACAAAGCUGAUCUUCCAUUUCCAUAUCCUGCUUUUCUAAUGUAAAUAGUAACUGAAAAGCUUUUUUUUCUUACUUUGCUGUCAUAAGUAUGAGUUUUGAGUUUUGAGGACCUGAAAGGAAAGAACGAACAUAUUAUGAUAUUGCUGCAAUUCAGUACUCGAAUCUAAUCUAUAAUU